This 887-nucleotide long non-coding RNA is filed under the name Ananas comosus (pineapple). RNAcentral describes it as "long non-coding RNA (ACOM_LNC013447)". Lineage: Eukaryota; Viridiplantae; Streptophyta; Magnoliopsida; Poales; Bromeliaceae. The record is from RNAcentral.
AUCGGUAGCACGGAAGCCUCCGUGCUACCAAGUUGUUUUCAAUGAUGCCGCUUCCAAAUCGACAAUCGGCUUCGUUAGACUUGAUCUACACUAUUAAAAGUAUUUGAAAACUAAGUUUCAUAAUUUUUCGGUAUCAUUUACCUAUCAAACGAGUAGUCUAAAAUGAACGGCCGAAAAUAAAAAUCUCAUAAAAAAUAAUGAUAGAAGACUUGAAUUUAAGAUCAGAGGUACUGAUCUUACUCUAAAUAGUAAAAAGAAAUUUUUAUAAAAAUUUCAUUUGAUUUGAAUUGUUUUACACCGUUAAAUUUACAAAUGCAUCACAUCUACCAUUAAAAUUGUCAAUUUUGAGACCUUUUGAUCACUAGCCAAAUGAUGUCGAAAAAUUAUGAAAUUUAGUUUCCAAAUAUUUUUAAUGGUCUAGAUCAAGUUUGACGGAACCGAUCGUCAAUUUGGAAGCCACAUCAUUGAAAACAACUUGGUAGUACGGAGGUCUCUGUGCUACCGAUAGUAUACUAGCCUAACUCUAUAUAUAUAUAGAGUGAGGCUACUAUGCUAUCGGAAGCACGGAGCCUUCCGUGCUUCCAGCUCGUUUUCGAUGUUGUGACUUUCGAAUCGUCGAUCGGCUCCGUUAAACUUGAUCUAGAGUAUUUGGAGUACCUAGAAAAUAAAUUUUAUUAUUUUUCGAUAUCAUUUGCCUAGUGAUCGAAUGGGCUCAAAAUCAACAAAUUUCAAUGGCCGUAGUGAACCGUUUGCAAGUUUAACGGUGUAGAAAUAUCCAAAUCACGUGAAAUUUUGAUAGAAAAUUCUUUAUACUAUAUAAAACAAGAUCAAUAUCUUUGAUUUAAAAUUUUAAUGUCAUAUUAUUACAUUUUGUAAGAUUUUUAUUU